GGAGGGUGUAGCUCAGUGGUAGAGCACAUGCUUCACAUGCAUGAGGUCCUGGGUUCAAUCCCCAGUGCCUCCA
RNAcentral lists this transfer RNA (73 nucleotides) under Vicugna pacos (alpaca). Its description in RNAcentral is "tRNA-Val (CAC) (tRNA-Val-CAC-5-1)". It matches the Rfam family "tRNA". From Rfam's summary of the family: Transfer RNA (tRNA) molecules are approximately 80 nucleotides in length. The record is from RNAcentral. Lineage: Eukaryota; Metazoa; Chordata; Mammalia; Artiodactyla; Camelidae.